Long non-coding RNA from Diceros bicornis minor, 2635 nucleotides. RefSeq lists it as uncharacterized. NCBI's taxonomy places the organism in Eukaryota, Metazoa, Chordata, Mammalia, Perissodactyla, Rhinocerotidae. The record is from RefSeq and is a predicted model, not a curated record. The transcript is spliced from 5 exons.
CACGCAAUGACGUAGACACGCACAAACGCACGCAGGCCCUGGCCAGUAGGAGACGUUGAUGGACUCACCGGGCCCUGAGCCCCGAGGGACGACCGGGCCAAGUCCGGAGCUAGAGACCAGCUGCCCGGAGCAGUGAGCUGCACCUCCGCUCUCCUUGUGGAAGCUCCAGGAAACGGGAAUGCUGGCCGUGAGGAAGUCCUUGCCAUGUCUACCACUGCUCUUUGCGGUGACUGUACCCCCAGGACGUCGCCUCCUCUUCGGAGCCCAGAGGACCUGCUCAGAGUUGGCCUCCCUUUCUUGUCCCCCCUGGGCAGCACCCUGCAGAACACCCUGCCCCCGAUGGCCUGUCUGAGCACUUGCCUUGGCAGUUUCUUAUCCUUCAACCUUCCAGUGACCUCUGUCCAUCCAGCCCCCCCAGCUCCAGCUGUGUCCUGGGCACUUGACACCACCGGGCCUCUCAGCGCUCACCACCCUGGUGCUGCACACCCUCUCUGUGGCCCAGAUGUUCUCCUGCCCAGCCCAUCCUUUCUGCUCAGUGUGAUUUCUCCACACCUCUCCCCUCUGAGCCUGUCACCUGUUCUGUUCUCCUCACUUGUCGAGAGGUGCAAACUGCACCACGGAGAAUGCUACCUCCCGCACCCCGUGUGCUUCUCUGACUUUGAGGCCCAGAGAACAUUCCAGUUUGCUCCUGCUGCAUGUUUUGUGGCACCACCGGUCUGGGACCGGCUUGACCCAGACUCCCAGUUUCUCUCAUACACUUCUCAGCAGGUCCACUUUGCUCCUCUCUGAAAUGCCUUCUGCCCAUCUUGCUGUUGAUCUGCUGGUCUUUUUGGUUCAGAGUUGUGGGAGCUGAUUUUGAAGACUGGAUGGUAAUCCCCCCUUGGUUGUUUGCGUUUCAGACUCCUCCUCUCUUUGCAGGCCUGCUUUGGACUCAGUAUUCACCUAGGCUCUCGAACUUGACACUCCAAGUCCACAGGAAGAAGCUGCACCACAAGGAACCUGCAGACGUGGGCGGGCUACUUUGACGCCACUGAGACCCACUCAGCCGACUCGUGAGUAUCUGCAUGCUCAGUGGCGACUUUGGCAAGUACAGAAAGUAUCUGAAGAAUUAGGACAAAGGGCACUCAUGAGGCGCUACACGGAGGCAUAAACGCUCACAAUUUGGACCUGUUCCCCUGGUUCUUUUCCUGUGUUUUCUCUUUACUCAGUUCAGUUCAUGCUGUAUGAGCAUUCUGUCUUAUGUUUUUUCAUUUAAUGUUAAGUAUUAUCCCAUGUUCUGAGAGGUUCCUCAGAAGACAUCUCACUAAGCUCUGUACCUUGUUCUGGAGUGUAUUGGGUUCCAGGCUCUCCCCGCUCAAGACCAACUGACAAAUCCUCGGGCAUGGCCCAGCAUACCUUGGACCCAAUGACGUCUCUGGUCAGAAACUCCAGCUCAGGGGUUCCCCCUGAAGCGGACGCAGAGACCGCGUUUAUGGAGUCUCCAAUGUCAAUGUCAAGUUGGACGCUGUGUCCAACAGCCUUCAACUGCCUGGUAAUCCCGUUUCCCAGCAUUCGGUCACCCAGUGCAUAGCCAGAGGUCCCUUUGGGAAGGGCUAGGGGGUCAUUCCAGUGUCUACUUGCCAUGGCGCUGCAGUGUCCUUCCCCUUGCGGUCCUGGCCACCUCCCUAAUCCACAGUUCCAGGUCCAAAACCUGGCUCAGGGGCAGAACCUGGGCAAGGGAUCAUGACUUGUCUGUUGGGGUGGCUGCCCUCAGCUGCCUGCCAUCCGUUCUUGCUCUUUCGAGUGUCCAUUUUAGGUUGUACCUUGGUCAGUUGCCCAUCCGUUGUGCCCCCAGGGAGGCUGUGUUCUGCUGACCACCUCCACCACUUGAUGGGUCAGGCCUCCUUGUCAGUGGUGUCCAUCAUCCUGAGCCCCUGGAUUCUGGCCGUUCAGUGCCACUCCAGGUCUUCUACUGCGGUUCCUUGGCCAGGGGGUGGUGUUCAUUUCCGUCCAUUACGAGGCCUGGCACAUUCUGCCUGUGUUGUGUGGUGACCUCACUCUGGUUGGGGGCCUGGCAGGAAGCCUACCACAUCUUCCUGGUUUUCGUGGGACUCUCCUGGUUUUAGCACUGCAACCCACAGAAAACUGGGACAGUUGCUCCCCCUACCUCCUGAGAUGGCGGGCACCGGUGGGGAAAGGUGUGCAAUUUUGUGCUCCCUCGGGGAUGGGGUGGAUACACUAGCUCUUUAUGGGAAGGGGUGGGCCGCUGCCGCAGGCUCGGAAGUUUCAGAGAUGUCUGGGGAGUCUAGAUCUUCCAGGGCCCUCUCUCAGAUGUCCCUGUUCCUUAUGUCAGGGAUGCAGAUUUUCCCAUGGGGCUUCUGACGUUGGCCUGACAGGGCUGCCUUGGUUGAAUGUUCAACCGUUUUUAAAGUUCAACCAUGCCUACCAAAUCCUGAGUUUGACCUUCGUCCGCUGCCUGCGACAGGGGCCACUUUGUAAGCUACCGAGGAGACCCUGGGGCUCCCCCUUAGUUUUCAGUCUGUUAAUCACCCCGGGCUUCUCUUCCCCUUGCAGGUCAUCAAAGCAAAAAGGUCACCCCCAUCCAUUCCCAUUGUCCUUAGAGUUGUCCUUCCCAUAUGUGCCACACGCCUGGAUC